UUUUCUCUCUCUUUUCCGCUCCUGCCUCUCUUCUCUUCUCUUUUUUUUUCAAUAGAUUAGCCGAGAAACCAUCACAGAAACCUCUCUUGUUUUCUCCAUCAUCUUCAAUAAUCUUUAAUCAUCGAUCUAUGUAAACUUGAUUCUGACAUGGAAUUAUGGAUUGAGUUUGUCGCAAUAUUGGAAUUAGAAGGCUACAGGAAGAAGAAGAAGAAAAUGGAGGAGAUGGUUAAGAACAAGAAGCUUCCGAGGAAGUCUGUUGUUUGCUGUGAUGGUAGAAGGAAGGUAGCUGAAAUGGGUGCUUGUUUGAGUAUUUGCAUCUGAGUUAGAUGGUGAAAUUGCAGAGAUGGUUGCAGAGAUGCAAGAGUUAUAUGUGGAUGAAAAGACUGCGCGUUCAAGAGGUUUUGGGUUUGUUAACUUAAGGAACCAGCAGAGUUCACUCCUUGAAUAUGAAUUCAGAGUCACAGAGCUAUUUUAAAAUCUACAAGACUCACAAAAGAGGAGAGAAGACUACUAAAGACCCCUUCUCCCUUGUUCUCUCCGCCUCUACCUUUUUGUUUCUCAAACUUGAAGAUUUAUUUGUUUCUCAUCUUUCUUUCUCUGCUGAUACUCUCUCUUGUUUUUGUUGUCUUUGGUGUUCAGGGUUCAGGUAAAAUAGAGAUGGUUACUGCUUGAUGAUGAUGGUGCUGGAGUUAUCAGUUUAACAUUUGCUUUCUUAAUACUGUUUUUCUUUCAGGAGCAACAACUGGUUUUAGUUUCUCAUCAAGGAUUUUUGAAAAGUUUUGAAUGAUGCUAGACAGACACCAGGAUUUUGCUUACUACACCGGAGGUCGGUUUCCAAGUCAUUCACAAAAAAUGUUUUCAAUUACUCAACUAUUCAGUCGGGUUCUUUUAUGAUUUUACGGGUUUUUAUAAGUUCUUUUACUCAAUAUCAGCUCUCAACUCUUUUCAUUUAAUAGUUUCAUGAUUAUUUGUGAAACCCUGCAACAAAACGGAAUUCUUGUUACUCUUAUGGAAUUCAUUCCACAUUAAGUGUUUUUUAUCCCUGAGUUACAAUACUUUCUCUGUUUGUAAGCAUUGUUUGCAGCAGCAAAGACCGUUGAUCAUUUAAAACUUGUUCGUAGUUGCACAAUUACUUCCUGCUAGUUUGUAAUGGUGUUUAUCAACAAUAGAACUACAAUCUGGAGUCUAAAAACCUGUGUUUUCGUGUAUGUGCAGGUUCAGACCUUGAACAAGGCGUCAUCUAUAAAAGUAAUUGUUGAUUGAUGAUAUCACGAGCCUUGGGGACCUGCCAUCUCAUAGAGGUAGAUAAUGCUAACAAGAAAAUUCUCAGUGGAACCACUGGCUUCAAGCACUUCAAUAUAGGAAGUAAUUAGGUGUGGAGAUGUUUUCGCGUGAAAUUGUAGCUGCAAUUAGGUAUACAAUUUCAUAAUUACAGAUUAUGUUCAUAAUCUUUGUAAUAAACAGAAUUUGUAUUUCCUCAUAGGAAUUCAUCUAGUCUUUCAACUAAAUUGACUUAGGAAUUCUCUAAAGUUUCAAAACAGAUUGUAUUCCUUAAAAAUUUAGGUCAAAAUUUCAGUUCUUUUGUUAUAUAAAUCUGAGAUGAAUUGAAUGAAUGUGAUAUAAAUAGAUAGAAGAAAUAGUUGUUGGGUGUGGUUA
Long non-coding RNA from Papaver somniferum (opium poppy), 1656 nucleotides. RefSeq lists it as uncharacterized. Lineage: Eukaryota; Viridiplantae; Streptophyta; Magnoliopsida; Ranunculales; Papaveraceae. The transcript has 8 exons. The record is from RefSeq and is a predicted model, not a curated record.